AUUUUGAAAUAAAAAAAACAUAUACUAAAAUUGGAACAACACAGAGAAGAUCAGUAUGGCCCCUGCGCAAGGAUGACAUACAAAUUCGUGAACUGUUCCAUAUUUUU
Molecule: small nuclear RNA, 107 nt
Organism: Chiloscyllium plagiosum (whitespotted bambooshark)
Lineage: Eukaryota; Metazoa; Chordata; Chondrichthyes; Orectolobiformes; Hemiscylliidae
Source: RefSeq, a predicted model, not a curated record